GUGGAUUACAUCGAUCCCAGUGCAUAACUGGUACUUAAUUAAUCGACCCCGAAAGGAUGAAAGGCAAAGUUGACCAUGGCAGAAUCUGAACUCGGAACGUAUCGACAGACGAAAUAUGGCCACGCAUUUCCCCCGGUGUGCUAAUGAUUCUGCCAGCUUGCUGCCUUU
Molecule: long non-coding RNA, 168 nt
Organism: Octopus sinensis (East Asian common octopus)
Lineage: Eukaryota; Metazoa; Mollusca; Cephalopoda; Octopoda; Octopodidae
Exons: 3
Source: RefSeq, a predicted model, not a curated record